CCUACGGGAGGCAGCAGUGAGGAAUAUUGGUCAAUGGCCGGAAGGCUGAACCAGCCAAGUCGCGUGAGGGAAGACGGCCCUACGGGUUGUAAACCUCUUUUGUCAGGGAGCAAGGUGCAGGUCGGGACCUGCUGUGAGAGUACCUCAAGAAAAAGCAUCGCCUCACUCCGUGCCGGCAGCCGCGGUAAUACGGCGGAUCCGAGCGUUAUCCGGAUUUAUUGGGUUUAAAGGGAUAGUAGAUGGGUUGUUAAGUCCGUUGUGAAAUGGUGCGGCUCAACCGUAAAAGUGCAAUUGAUACUGGCAGUCUUGAGGACAGUUGAGGUAGGCGGAAGUAGUGGUGUAGCGGUGAAAUGCGUAGAUAUCACGAAGAACCCCGAUUGCGAAGGCAGCUUACUAAAAUGUGACUGACAGUGAUGCUCGAAAGUGUGGGUAUCAAACAGGAUUAGAUACCCUGGUAGUC
Molecule: ribosomal RNA, 460 nt
Filed under: uncultured bacterium
Lineage: Bacteria
Description: partial 16S ribosomal RNA
Rfam family: Bacterial small subunit ribosomal RNA
Source: RNAcentral